RNAcentral lists this unclassified non-coding RNA (245 nucleotides) under Hevea brasiliensis (rubber tree). The record is from RNAcentral. Lineage: Eukaryota; Viridiplantae; Streptophyta; Magnoliopsida; Malpighiales; Euphorbiaceae.
GAUAACAAGUCAAAAGCAGGAUUAGUGGUGGUAAAACCUCCAUCUAAAGCUAAAUUAUGCCCACUCAUGUACUUGGAUUCAUCACUGAUGGCUAGAUAAAUUGCAGCUUCAGCCACAUCUUCAUGUUUAAGUUUCACCCAUUUGAGUAUACACCAUUAUUAGACCCUCCAUCCUCAUCCAUCUUGAAAAAAGCUCAUCCCCAAUAUAUGGCAUUUGAAUGUAUAAAUUAUUUUAUUAAUGAAAUU